Molecule: non-coding RNA, 46 nt
Organism: Schistosoma haematobium
Lineage: Eukaryota; Metazoa; Platyhelminthes; Trematoda; Strigeidida; Schistosomatidae
Source: Rfam
GCACUGCUGAGGAGUCCCACAAUAGGACGAAACGGUCGUUCAGUGC